Molecule: transfer RNA, 74 nt
Filed under: Caudoviricetes sp.
Lineage: Duplodnaviria; Heunggongvirae; Uroviricota; Caudoviricetes
Description: tRNA-Arg
Rfam family: tRNA
About the family: Transfer RNA (tRNA) molecules are approximately 80 nucleotides in length. Their secondary structure includes four short double-helical elements and three loops (D, anti-codon, and T loops).
Source: RNAcentral
ACCGCAUUAGCUCAGAUGCAUAGAGCAUAGGUCUUCUAAACCUAGUGUCAUUGGUUGGAAUCCAAUAUGCGGUG